CACCCAGGGAACUGAAACAUCUAAGUACCUGGAGGAAGAGAAAGAAAAAUCGAUUCCCUGAGUAGCGGCGAGCGAAACGGGAAUAGCCCAAACCAAGAGGCUUGCCUCUUGGGGUUGUAGGACACUCUACAUAGAGUUACAAAGGAAUGAGUUAGACGAAGCGAUCUGGAAAGGUCCGCAGGAUAGGGUAAAAGCCCCGUAGUCAAAAGUUCAUUCUCUCUUGAGUGUAUCCUGAGUACGGCGGAACACGUGAAA
This 255-nucleotide ribosomal RNA is filed under the name Psychrobacillus soli. RNAcentral's name for it is "Bacterial large subunit ribosomal RNA". It matches the Rfam family "Bacterial large subunit ribosomal RNA", at positions 181 to 431 of the family's 2925-position model. Lineage: Bacteria; Bacillati; Bacillota; Bacilli; Caryophanales; Bacillaceae. The record is from Rfam by way of RNAcentral.